RNAcentral lists this long non-coding RNA (2583 nucleotides) under Daphnia pulex (common water flea). RNAcentral describes it as "uncharacterized LOC124194641, transcript variant X2". The record is from RNAcentral. Lineage: Eukaryota; Metazoa; Arthropoda; Branchiopoda; Diplostraca; Daphniidae.
CCCGCAUUUCUUUCUUUAAUUCAGGAUCGGAAUAUUUGCCGAGAGCGAUUCUAUUAUGUAUAGUAGAUCUAAUAUCAGAUGGGAAAGAGAGAGCGAGGAGCUCCAAUCUUCUUCGUUUCAGCCCUCCUCCCAGCUGCUGGACGAGUGAUUUAUACAAUGGGAUAACAUGCAGAGAGAGAGAUGGAUGGUGAUUCCGCCGAAAAAACCGGGACUCUAUAAUAACAACACAACAGCUAGACCGUGCGCGUGAAAUACAGCAAACGACAAUAGGACGUCAUCAGAGCUGUGAAGAGCGUCAGGAUCGAACCCAUCGCCCACCUUCCAGAGUUGACUGUAAAUUUUUUAAAAAUCAUUUGAAUGAGUCAGCGAUUGAAGAGUUUCGGCGCUGGCGACGUGGCGGCUGCGGAAUAUUCGCUCGCCGUGCUGGUGGCUGUCGGAUGCGAUCCGCCUCUGGAACUGGUGCGCCGAUUCCGCCACGGCGUUGCUUCCGCCGUUGGAGUAGGUGGACGAAGAUGACAGGGUGGACCAGUAGGUGACGGAAGACAUGGACGGUGCGGCCGCUGCCUUUUGAGUCGAGUAAGGGAUGGCGGCCUCGCACGUCACCGUCGCCGUGUUGCUGCUGGAACUGCCCUUGGUGGAUCCUGACGACUUGCCGGAACGCGGGAAAUGAUCGCGCGACUGCAGUUCCAGAACGGAGAAACUCGUCUCCAAUCCGGACGACGUCCGGCUGACGCUGGUCUCCUGGAUCAGUUCCGGAUUGACUGGCACGUUGUUGAUGAGCCACCGGAUCUGGGCGGCCGGCCGUGAGGGAUCCGUCGUGCAGUUGAGUUCCACCGUUCCGUCUUGCUCGUUGAUGACGUAGCCGCCAAAGAUUUCCGGUUUUUUCUUUGGUAAAAUGACGACCGACAGAGCCGCACCUCCCGAAACGGAUCGAAAGGCCGGCCCUUCGCCCGAGGCCUCGCAUCGGAAGAAUCCCGCCGUUGCUGGAGUCACCGAGCGCAGAACCACCGCCUCUCUGACCGACCGUUCCCUCUGUCCCAAAAACAGAAAACGAGAGCAGCAGCUAAUAAGUAUUUGAUGAUUUGAAACGCCCUUGGGAGCAAAAGAGCCGAGUCCGCCAUGUUGCUUCCAUGUUUCACAUUUAAUUGGGAAUCGGAAAUCCAUUCCGGCUGACUCGGCAGUCAUCAACUGCGGACGUCAAAAAUUCGUCGAUACAAUUGACGAAAUAUUUUGGUUGUUUUCCUCUUUUUUUUCUGGUUUGGUUCUACUAUUUUUUUUUCGUUACGUUGCCAUGACGAACUGGACAGAUCCUGCAUCAUGGAUGCAGUUGUGCCCUCCUUUCUCUUGAUGGAAAAUUGACUUUUCUUUUUUUCCUUCUUAUCUGUGUACAGCUUUUUACUCAUUCACCGAUUCUUUCAACGAAAAAGACCGUCAUCGCUGGAUUGUAUUGAUUACAAGACGAUGUACAUGCCUCGGGCAGGAGGAUAUUAUUCAUCAUUGAGAUCCUCACUAGAUCAGAUGGACCUGGAUGUACGUUUUUCACUUCCUACUUUUUCUCGAUAGCGCCUAGAAUUUCCCAGUGAAUAAGAGAUAUAGUUACUCCUGUCCAUUGUUUGCAUCCAUUAGCCUCGGCACGUUCCACAUGGAUACCAUAGGGGGGGGUCACGGCGUCCUACUCUGGCACUAAUCGGAACAGGAACGUGAGAGAGUCUUUCGUACUUAUUCUCUUGUUUCACGCCCUCCCUUUUUUUUUGUCUCUCUCUCUUGCGGGGCGUGGUGAUGGCUGUAAUCCAGCGCGGAUUUCUUGGGCGACAUAAUAAGAAUUAUAACCCACUCUGGAUCGUCCCAUAGAGAAACUGCUUCUAGAUCAUCGAGUGCAACUGCCAUGUAAAGAUUUUCGGCUAUAGGAGAUUGAUUUUGUUUCAUGUAGUUUGUGCCAUUCCAGUUGGAAACAGACAACUGGCCCACACGUAUUGCUACAUGAUGUUAUACGGAGCUGGGCACAAAAAGUCGUUGGAAAGCCAAACAAGUGGUUUUGACACUUGAUGAGCUGGCCCAGCAGUUUCUUAUGUAUACGUUGCAUCCAUUCUGCUCCCGAUUUCUCUGAACAAAUUUCCCCUUUUUUUUCAUCAACCCGUUUUUUUUUUCUUGUUGGCCUUUUGUUUCCUCUUUUCUUUUUGAACUCUGACGUCGUUCGUUUUUAAAUUUCAAUGCAGACGCUGACAAGAGAAAAUAAAAAGGAGGCAAAAGUUCAAAAAGGAAAGAAAAAUAAAAAUAAAAAAUCGUCGGUUCGGUGGGGUUGGCCAAUUUGAAUGUCUCCGGUCCGUCGGGACACAAUCGUGUAGCGACUGGGUGCCGGCACGGCGGUGCUGCACUGCAGUAGAGCGGCAAUCAGCCGCGCUCUUGUGUUGAUGAACAUUAGCGAAGCGCGUUUCCUCUUUCCAUCUAACCUCCUCCUUCUUUUUCUUUGCUCUUCUUGAACAGCCCGCAAAUAAAAAAGGCUUUCAUCAGUUAUUCAACAUCAGUUCAGCUGCUCCCUAUUAUUGUGUACGGAAAACCUCCAAUAAAAACGUUCGAGUUAAA